GCAGUCUAGUUUUACAACAUCAUGUCUGUUUGAUAAGAGCCAUUUUUUCUUUGUUUUGUGUAAGAUGGUAUAAAAGACUAGACUACUUGUCAUCUCACAACAAAUGUGAAGCAGAUGGAUGGAAAAGACACUAUAAUGGACAUAAAGCGGCCCGGCCCAAGAGCAUGAUCGAUAUGUGCGAGUCCUCCAGUGAUGACGCUGAGAAGAGCUCUGUUUUGCAGACGCAUAGCCUGAGAGAGUUUGAGCAGGCUUGGCAGAAGUGUGGAGAUUUUGACAGGCUCAGUCAAGACCUGAUCAUUGUGGCCUGGCCCUCCGUGUACCUUUCAGCAAGUUGUUGCAAAAUUCUGAAGGAAACGGACAAACAAGAGCUGGUUUUGUCUUUCUAGAUUCUGUGCUUUUUGCAGCACUUCUUCACUUAGGUUCUCUUUAGAUAGAAAAUAGGUCAAAAUUUU
Long non-coding RNA from Cyprinus carpio carpio, 452 nucleotides. NCBI's taxonomy places the organism in Eukaryota, Metazoa, Chordata, Actinopteri, Cypriniformes, Cyprinidae. The record is from Ensembl.